UCCGAAAGGUGACCGACCUUCGGGGAGCCAUUUACAGGUGUUGCAUGGCUGUCGUCAGCUCGUGUCGUGAGAUGUUCGGUUAAGUCCGCUAACGAGCGCAACCCUCGCUGUGUGUUAUAUGUGUCACACAGGACUGCUGGUAUUAAGCGGAGGAGGUGGGACGACGUCAAGUCAGCAUGACCUUUAUAUCCAGGGCUACACACACGCUACAAUGGUCAGUACAAUGGGUUGCCAAGCCGCGAGGCGGAGCCAAUCCUAAAAAGCUGGCCUCAGUUCAGAUUGCAGUCUGAAACUCGACUGCAUGAAGUCGGAGUUGCUAGUAAACGCAGGUCAGCUAUACUGCGUUGAAUACGUUCCCGGGGCUU
This 365-nucleotide ribosomal RNA is filed under the name uncultured Anaerolineaceae bacterium. RNAcentral's name for it is "bacterial SSU rRNA". It matches the Rfam family "Bacterial small subunit ribosomal RNA", at positions 1000 to 1382 of the family's 1533-position model. The record is from RNAcentral. Lineage: Bacteria; Bacillati; Chloroflexota; Anaerolineae; Anaerolineales; Anaerolineaceae.